AGGACGAACGCUGGCGGCGUGGAUUAGGCAUGCAAGUCGCGCGACGGACCUUCGGGUUACGGAGCGGCGAACGGGUGAGUAACACGUGAACAAUCUGUCCCUACAUUCCGGAUAAUUGGCCGAAAGGCCUUGUAAUACGGGCGAGGAUGGUGGUGAGGCAUCUCACUAUCAGGGAAGGUGCAACGCAAGUUGUGCCGUGCAGGGAGGGGUUCGCGGCCUAUCAGUUAGUUGGUGGGUAACGGCCUACCAAGACGACGACGGGUAGCUGGUCUGAGAGGAUGGUCAGCCACAUUGGAACUGAGACACUGUCCAGACUCCUACGGGAGGCUGCAGUCGAGAAUCUUGGGCAAUGCACGAAAGUGUGACCCAGCGACGCCGCGUGGAGGAUGAAGGCCCUUGGUUGUAAACUCCUUUUAUGGAAGAAGAACGUCCCUUCGGGACUUGACGGUACUCCAUGAAUAAGCCACGGCUAACUACGUGCCAGCAGCCGC
RNAcentral lists this ribosomal RNA (491 nucleotides) under uncultured soil bacterium. Its description in RNAcentral is "bacterial SSU rRNA". It matches the Rfam family "Bacterial small subunit ribosomal RNA", at positions 26 to 518 of the family's 1533-position model. The record is from RNAcentral.